This 4797-nucleotide long non-coding RNA is filed under the name Ovis aries (sheep). RNAcentral's name for it is "lncRNA (ENSOARG00000025444.1)". Lineage: Eukaryota; Metazoa; Chordata; Mammalia; Artiodactyla; Bovidae. The record is from RNAcentral.
GAUCUUGCUUCAGGAAUGAAAGAAGAAACAUUCAUCUAAUGUCAAGAAAAUCACCCACUAGCUGGGCCAGAAUAAUCCACUUCUGGCCACAUAAGAGGGUGCACCCUAUCAAUGACUCAGAAGAAGCUCCCACUGAGUCCCUGUUGGAAGACCUGGACCUGCCCAGUGACAGGGCAGACGAGAAGGCCCCGCCUACCCCCAAGGUUAAUGGGACAAAUGAUGAAAAUGCUACAUGUGUUGGAACCACUCCUCUGCUAACGGGAAAUCUAGCUGAUGCUGACGAAGAAGCUCCCCCUGUGGACCUGUUGGAGGACCUGACUGAUGACAGGACAGAGGAAGAGAUCCCACUUACUGCCAAGGAGGAUGCAAGAGCUGGUGAAAACCCUCCCCCGGAGGAUUUGUUGAAGGACAGAGCAGAGGAGGAAGCUUCACCCAUCUCUAAGGUGGUCUCAGUAGAAAGUGAAAACGAAUGCAUUUUGGAAAGCAUAUAUGACAGUGGAAAUGAAUGCAACACAGACAAGAUGCUGGACAGCUCAUGGAGCAACCAGGAUGAAGAUGCUACAGAAUACUACUUCGAGUCUAAUGAAGAAUCGGAUCAGGAGAGCAACAGUCUGCAUAUGUCAAGAUAUCCUCUGCUUCUCCUCUUAAGAGAAGCUGUUGGGUCUGCAGUCAGUGAAGAAGAGGACAGGGAGGAGGAGACAUAAAUAUGGAGGGUGGGGAUGAAAGGUUCUGCUCUGACACCUGUGAAGGCCUUGACCUUGGGGCCUCAUCCUGGGCCUCAGAGGGGAACGAAGCAGUACAGAGUCAGGAGGUUUCCAACUGGACAAGGAACAGGGUUGGCCUCACUGCUCAUCUCCUAAGGAACCUAAUUUAGUACAGCUUAGUGUUUUUUUUUUAUUGUAUAGCUUUAGUAUUAUGUUCAAACAUAUGUUUUAUAUAUGCUGUGGAAGCUUUCUCUAUUAAAUGACAUUCAUCUAUCUAGUUGCUUUUCACAUAUUUUCCUAUAAAAAUCACCCUAAUCCGAGGUAGGACUAAAUGAAUUGCUGUCUUGCAUUCACCCUCGUGUCCACCACCAAGGUCACCCCCUCUCUUAUGUCACCGUCAUUCAGUCUUCAUUAUAUCAGGUGACUAUGAAUUUAGUCCAUACCAUCCGUCCUGAUGUAUCUUUCUAAGGAUUCUGUUUUCUGAAGUCUGUUCAUUCCUUUGAUCAUGGGAACAGUAUUUCCCUAGAUCUUUCAUGAUGACUUGAAUGACAGGGCCUUUGAUAGCCAGUUACUUGCCUGCUAGAAAAUUCAUGACUCAUCAUUUCUCUCCUUGAGCAGUUCAAAUACAUUGCUCUACUUUUUUUCUGGCAGAGUAUUUCUCUCCAAAAAGUUUCAUCGAAUUCUGAUUUUUGUUCCGUUAUAUGUCACGUGCUCUCUUGUUCUAGAUGCCCAAAAGAUUUUUGUUUUUCUUUAAAGCCCUGUGAGUUUGUUAGAAUAUCAUCUGCCUUUAGUCAUUACAAGUGAAUGCACAUUGUUCUCUUCAAAAGACAAUUUCAAAGUUGUUUUUAAAAUUAUCAGAAAAAUUUGGACAAUAAUGCCUAGUAUUUGCUUUGCAUCUUUUAAUGAUUUUUCUCUUUCCGGUCCUUGAAUCUUGCAAAUAUCAGAUCUCUUAUGAUUAUAUUUCACUUUUAACACACUCAUGAAAUAUUUUAUACAUUUUUGCUUAAUUUCUUUUCCAGAAGUGUUUUUAAACAGUGUUUAAGCCCUACCUCCUUACUGUUUCAUUUCUUACAAGGCAUUAUUUGACAGCAGGUUUCUGUUUAAAUUUCGUUUACGUGUGCUUUUCAGUAUUUUCGUAUUCUUUGGGGAGUUUCGUGUCUUUGUUUCUGAGUGUUCUUAAUUCUGAUCUAUGAUGUACUUUCAGUGUUCAUUAUUAAUUCAUAGCGUCACCCAUGAACAGAGAAUGGCCACACCCAUGAAGAACUGCUAAGCCUUUGUGUAGGGGUUCAUUACUCCAAGCCCUUUUGUGUUUGUUAACUGAAGUACAGUUGACAUACAUCCAGAUACUUUCAGCUGUGCAACACAGUGGCUCCCUAUUGCUGUACAGAACAAAAUGAUCAAGCAACAGGACUAGUUACCAUGUGCUGUGAUACAAAAUUACCACAAUAUUACUGACUACAUUCCCCAUGUUGUAUAUUUCAUCCCCUUGACUCAUUUCUUUGGGAACUGGAAGUUUGCAGCUCUUAAUCUCUUUCAACAAUUUCUUUAUCACUCAAUCCCACUUCCCCUUGGCAACCAGUUGUUUGUUCUCUGUAUCUAUGAGUCUGUCUUGUUGUGUUUCUUCAUUUAUUUUGUUUUUUAGACUUCCACACAUAAGUCACAUCAUAUGCUAUUCAUCUGUAUCCACCUGACUUAUUUCACUUUGCAUAGUACUUUCUAGUUUCAUCCAUGUCAUAGCAAAUGGCAAGAUUUCAUUCUCUUUUAUGGCUGAAUAUCAUUCUAUUCCAUGAGUAACCACAUCCUCUUUAUCCAUUCAUCUAUCAAUGGACACUGGUUGCUUCCUUAUCUUGGCCAGUAAAAUGAUGCUGCGAUGAACACAGAGCUAAAUAUAUCUUUUCAAAUUAUUUUUUUUCUUCAGAAUACCCAGGAUGGAAUUGGUGGACUGUAUUGUAGUUCUAUUUUUAAUUUUUUUGAGAAAACUUUAUACUUGAUAUAUUUUUUAAGAUAUUGCCUAAUAAUGCAGCCUACUAUACUUCACCUCAUUCUGUAGCUCUUAAUGAAUAUUUCCUUUUUUUCUUUACUGUUAUAUUUUUUAAAAGUAGAAAAAAUUUUAGGACAUAUUUUUUAACCUGAUUCAUACACAUAAUUUGCUGAAACUAGGAAUGAGUUCAUGAAUUUUUUUGAAGUUCUGAUGCUUCUUUACAUUCCUAUACCUAAAGUUGGUAUUUUUUAUAACUAUGAUUUAUUGAGAGUGACACUGAAUGGUACACAUAUACAAACUCUAAAACCAACUUUAGUAAAAAAAAACAUGUUGAUUGCAAACCAAAUUUGUGUCUGUGUUAAUGGAUUGACUGAGAGGAUAAAGGCUGGAAUGCAGAAUUAUAGAGAAAAGAAAGAAAAUGUUGGAAUGCAUGAAAAGGCAGAUUUCUUUGCAAAAGAACAGAGAGAUUAAAUUAUUUGUAUAAAGAAGGAAAAUAUCCUGCUGUAGGAUUUGGUGAAAAGAGUAUUUUCCCCAUCUUAAAAAUCUGCAAUUUAAUCCCAAGUAUUAACAAAUCUGGGCUUCCCUGAUGCUCAGUGGUAAAGAAUCUGCCUGCAGUGCAGGAAAUCUAAAAGACGUGGAUUUGAUCCCUGCGUUGGGAAGAUCCCCUGGAGGAGGGAUGGCAACCCACUCCAGUAUUCUUGCUUGGAGAAUCCCAUGGACAGAGAAGCCUGGCAAGCUACAGUCCAUUGAUUGCAAAGGGUCAGACAUGACUGAAGUGACUGAGCAUGCAUCACACGCCAAGAAAUCUAUAAAUUUAUAUUUAGUUUCUGACUUUGUUUUUCUCUUUAAAGAAUAUUAAAUAUUAAAACUUAUCUGUAUAUUUGAUGUCAAUAAACUUAUACUGGCUCAGAUAUAACAAAGUGACUCACAAACUUCUUUGGAACUAAUUAUGUUGUCAUCUUGUUACCCAAGCUGCUAUGAACAAUGUAUUUUCAAAGAAGACAAAAUACACAUAGAUAUUAUUAUAGCUGACAAAAAUGAGAAUCAUUCUUGCAUUGUAUUUAGUAGAUAAUUCUAAAUUAUACUCUCUAUUAUGGACUAAAAUUACAAUUAAACCUGAAUUUGUGAUGAUUUCAGCACUGACCAAAAUGACUAGCUCACUGAGGUCACAGUGGGUUGUGUCUUGGUCAGGAUACAUAUGUGUGACUAUAAAGAAGCAGUGACUGGGUAAGGGUUAUAAUAAUUAACAUGGAAACAUUGUUUGAAGGGUUCUGUUGGCUUGUUUGGUCUCUGAUCUACUGCCUUUUUGCUAAAGGCAUAUGUGUGUUGACAGUUAAAAGUCAUAACCCUGUUGAUAACUUUUUAUCAUUGAUGUUUGGCAACUUAUUAAGCAUUUUUCCACUUCUCAGUGGGCAUUGGGACUGAGCAAUCUGCUUUGUCUGGUACUUAAUGCUCAUCAAUUGUACAAAAUGCCUUGUUUUUUCCUUUCUCAUUGUGUGUCCUACUUCACUCUGUCCUGUGAAUCCCACAAUCCUAAACGUUUUCAAUGCUGACACUCAUGUCCUCAUGAUUCAAUCUUACCUUAUUUCCUGAAGGAAUAUGUUGGGGAGGCAGGGGAGCACUUGGCCCCCAGAGUUUUCUCUUGCUGUCUCUUGAAUCCUUAUAAACACUGUAACAAAUAUCAAAAAUAGCAUUUGCUAUUGUACAAUGAAUCUUGCCAAGUAAUAGGAAAUAUUAAACUUUGGAGGAAAACAUAAGCAAAAUAUCUCCUUACUUUACCAUUGAAAUAUUUUAUAUAUCUUGGUAGUCUCAUUUAGAAUUUUUUUUAAAUUGAAAUAUAAUUCUCAUAUCAUGAAGUUCACCAUUUUAAAGGGUACAGUUCAGUGGUUUUUAGAAUAUUCAUUAAGUCUGAUGUUAAAAAAAUUUAUUUCUCUGCUUCAUUUUCAUUUUGCCUAAUUUUAUCUUCAUAUUUCUAUGUUGCAUGUAGUUUUUACAUUUAUCAUUUUAAAUUGGUGUUACCACAUCUUCAGUUACAUAGCCAUUCUCUAUUCAUUGGACAUGUGGACAUUCUAUUUCUAAAAUUAUUACAAUUAUUAAUCUCAUGAAUUUACA